GGGGCCGUAGCUCAACUGGUAGAGCGCGAGCUUUGCAAGCUCGAGGUCGGGCGUUCGAUCCGCCUCGGCUCCA
RNAcentral lists this transfer RNA (73 nucleotides) under Bdellovibrio sp. RNAcentral's name for it is "tRNA-Ala". It matches the Rfam family "tRNA". From Rfam's summary of the family: Transfer RNA (tRNA) molecules are approximately 80 nucleotides in length. Their secondary structure includes four short double-helical elements and three loops (D, anti-codon, and T loops). RNAcentral also lists the same sequence under 1 other name. Lineage: Bacteria; Pseudomonadati; Bdellovibrionota; Bdellovibrionia; Bdellovibrionales; Pseudobdellovibrionaceae. The record is from RNAcentral.